This is a non-coding RNA of Leptonychotes weddellii (Weddell seal), 744 nucleotides long. The record is from RefSeq and is a predicted model, not a curated record. NCBI's taxonomy places the organism in Eukaryota, Metazoa, Chordata, Mammalia, Carnivora, Phocidae.
AGGACUGAAUAGAUUUUAAACACUCAGCACAUGGAGAACAUGCUUUUAGAUUCUUGAAACCAGAUCUUCUAUUUCUCUGUAGUUACUAUGGUGAUAGAUGGUAUAGAGAUGUGCAGAUCCUAUUGUGACCUCUCCUUGGUGCAGGGAUGCCAUGAGUCUCUGGCUUCAUUGUCCACCAAGGCCUGGCAGAUCUGGCUGCUUCCCUUCAUGCACUGAGUGGUAGAGGUGCUGUCCUUGCCUCUGGGACCAGCUAUCUCCAGCCUUGGCCUGCCCUGCUAGUCAACAAAAGCAGGACUCGUCAGGGAACAAUCUUCUCGGGUUGCCGUGUAAUCUGAGCAAGUGAAGGAAGCUUCUGGUUUAACUGGGGAAACAUGAUGACAGCACUUGUGAAAGCUGAAGAAUAAUCACCUCUUAUUAAUGUGAUGCCAGUGCUAUACAGGAGUAAACUCUGAGCUGGGAACAGCCUUCUGGACCAGAAGAGUGAGCACCCAGGAAUCACACUCGGCAACAAUGUCAGCGGAACUGGAGACUGCGGAGGGGGUGGAUGAGUCGGAGAAAAAGAGCUCCGGGGCCUCAGAAAAAGAGAACCACGCCAGGAUGGCUGACCUCUCUGAGCUCCUGAAGGAAGGGACCAAGGAAGCACAUGACCGGGCAGAAAACACCCAGUUUGUCAAGGACUUCUUGAAAGGCAACAUCAGGAAGGAGCUGUUUAAGGUUGGUGCCCUUGGUUGUGGAUAGGGUCAG